CCCCGCCCAAGUUCACAAUCAACAUUCAUUGUUGUUGGUGGGUUGUGAGGACACAGGCCAGACCCACCGGCAGAUGGAUGCCACUGUGACUGGGCCACACAGCCUGGGGGGAAGGGGA
MicroRNA precursor from Ochotona princeps (American pika), 118 nucleotides. NCBI's taxonomy places the organism in Eukaryota, Metazoa, Chordata, Mammalia, Lagomorpha, Ochotonidae. The record is from Ensembl.